CAAGAUUUAGCACUACCACAUUGUGUCUUAAUUUAUGAGAUAUUUUAUAAAUCAAGAACUUUUAGAUAACAAGUUAUGCCUUAUGGGUAAGAGUAGACACUACCAUAUUAUAUCUUGAUUUGUGAGAUAUUUUAUAAGUUUUAUCUUAGAGGCUCGAAUUAGUCCAAGGAAUUUCAAACAAUAAGUUACGCCCCAUAAACAAGAGUUGACACUACCACAUCGUGUCUUGAUUUAUG
This 236-nucleotide long non-coding RNA is filed under the name Capsicum annuum. Its description in RNAcentral is "long non-coding RNA (CANN_LNC017207)". Lineage: Eukaryota; Viridiplantae; Streptophyta; Magnoliopsida; Solanales; Solanaceae. The record is from RNAcentral.